GGCAACUCCGUGCCGGCAGCCUGGGUAAUACUGAGGAUCCAAUGGUUAUCCGGAAUCAUUGGGUUUAAAGGGUCCGUAGGCGGCCUUAUAAGUCAGCGGUGAAAGUUUUUGGCUUAACCAAAAAAUUGCCAUUGAUACUGUAGGGCUUGAAUAUUUGUGAAGUAACUAGAAUAUGUAGUGUAGCGGUGAAAUGCUUAGAUAUUACAUGGAAUACCAAUUGCGAAGGCAGGUUACUAACAAAUGAUUGACGCUGAUGGACGAAAGCGUGGGUAGCGAACAGGAUUAGAUACCCCAGUAGUC
Molecule: ribosomal RNA, 300 nt
Filed under: uncultured Aquifex sp.
Lineage: Bacteria; Pseudomonadati; Aquificota; Aquificia; Aquificales; Aquificaceae
Description: bacterial SSU rRNA
Rfam family: Bacterial small subunit ribosomal RNA
Source: RNAcentral